Non-coding RNA from Notechis scutatus (mainland tiger snake), 257 nucleotides. NCBI's taxonomy places the organism in Eukaryota, Metazoa, Chordata, Lepidosauria, Squamata, Elapidae. The record is from RefSeq and is a predicted model, not a curated record.
UGAAAUUCACUCUAACAUUUGACAUAUAUAAGACUUUCGAUGAAUACUUACGGUCUGCUUGAGGAAUAAGUGAAAUGAAACUGCUGAAUACGCUCUUAGUAAUUGAAUUACUAGUCACACAGCAUGAAUAGUUGCCUUUAUCAGUAGGUUCAACUUUGGCAAUGUAAAGGUUACCAUUUGUUUGUGACACAUAUCGCCGUUUAUCCAAAGUAAUGAAUUCUGGGAAAUCAUUCAGAAACCAACGAUAACUUAGAUCA